This 192-nucleotide small nuclear RNA is filed under the name Leptobrachium leishanense (Leishan spiny toad). RNAcentral describes it as "U2 spliceosomal RNA (ENSLLEG00000005802.1)". It matches the Rfam family "U2 spliceosomal RNA". Rfam says of the family: U2 is a small nuclear RNA (snRNA) component of the spliceosome (involved in pre-mRNA splicing). Lineage: Eukaryota; Metazoa; Chordata; Amphibia; Anura; Megophryidae. The record is from Rfam by way of RNAcentral.
AUCGCUUCUCGGCCUUUUGGCUAAGAUCAAGUGUAGUAUCUGUUCUUAUCAGUUUAAUAUCUGAUACGCCCCCUAUCUCGGGGGCCAUAUAUUAAAUGGAUUUCUAGAACAGGGAGAUGGAAGAAGAGCUUGCUCUGUCCACUCCACGCAUUGACCUGGUAUUGCAGUACCUCCAGGACCGGUGCACAAAAA